GCUAAGAAUAUUCCGCAAUGGACGAAAGUCUGACGGAGCGACGCCGCGUGGAUGAAGAAGGCCGAAAGGUUGUAAAGUCCUUUUGUUGGGGAAGAAUAAGCGCGGGAGGGAAUGCCCGCGUGAUGACAUGAACCGACGAAUAAGCCCCGGCUAACUACGUGCCAGCAGCCGCGGUAACACGUAGGGGGCGAGCGUUGUUCGGAAUUACUGGGCGUAAAGGGCAUGUAGGCGGCCUUGUAAGCCUGGCGUGAAAGUCACCGGCUUAACCGGUGGAUUGCGUCGGGAACUGCAGGGCUUGAGUCACGGAGAGGGAGCUAGAAUUCCUGGUGUAGGGGUGAAAUCUGUAGAGAUCAGGAAGAAUACCAAUGGCGAAGGCAAGCUCCUGGCCGAUGACUGACGCUGAGGUGCGAAAGUGUGGGGAUCAAACAGGAUUAGAAACCCCUGUAGUCC
RNAcentral lists this ribosomal RNA (450 nucleotides) under uncultured Spirochaetaceae bacterium. Its description in RNAcentral is "bacterial SSU rRNA". It matches the Rfam family "Bacterial small subunit ribosomal RNA", at positions 354 to 796 of the family's 1533-position model. The record is from RNAcentral. Lineage: Bacteria; Pseudomonadati; Spirochaetota; Spirochaetia; Spirochaetales; Spirochaetaceae.